RNAcentral lists this non-coding RNA (197 nucleotides) under Erysipelotrichaceae bacterium. RNAcentral's name for it is "T-box sequence". It matches the Rfam family "T-box leader". Rfam says of the family: Uncharged tRNA acts as the effector for transcription antitermination of genes in the T-box leader family. T-boxes are found upstream of many aminoacyl-tRNA synthetase genes and some amino acid biosynthetic genes usually in Gram-positive bacteria. The record is from RNAcentral. Lineage: Bacteria; Bacillati; Bacillota; Erysipelotrichia; Erysipelotrichales; Erysipelotrichaceae.
AUCAGGACGAUGAAAAAGAGGAGUACAUCAGGGUAGCCAUUGCAGAGAGAAAGCGGCGGGUGAGAGCUUUCAUGGUGAACGAUGGAAGCUGCUUUGGAGUUCUGCGCGUAUCUGGCGUUAACAGAGUAAGUGAGUGUGCCUGUGGAUAUAUACACGGGUGAACUGGGAUGGUACCGCGUAUACUAUACGUUCCUGGA